Molecule: ribosomal RNA, 642 nt
Filed under: uncultured marine bacterium
Lineage: Bacteria
Also listed under: 1 other name
Description: bacterial SSU rRNA
Rfam family: Bacterial small subunit ribosomal RNA
Source: RNAcentral
CGCGGCCUAUCAGCUUGUUGGUGGGGUAAUGGCCUACCAAGGCGACGACGGGUAGCCGGCCUGAGAGGGUGAUCGGCCACACUGGGACUGAGACACGGCCCAGACUCCUACGGGAGGCAGCAGUGGGGAAUAUUGCACAAUGGGCGAAAGCCUGAUGCAGCGACGCCGCGUGGGGGAUGACGGUCUUCGGAUUGUAAACCCCUUUCAGUAGGGACGAAGCGCAAGUGACGGUACCUGCAGAAGAAGCACCGGCUAACUACGUGCCAGCAGCCGCGGUAAUACGUAGGGUGCGAGCGUUGUCCGGAAUUACUGGGCGUAAAGAGCUCGUAGGCGGUUUGUCACGUCGUCUGUGAAAUCCCUCGGCUUAACCGGGGGCGUGCAGGCGAUACGGGCAGACUUGAGUACUACAGGGGAGACUGGAAUUCCUGGUGUAGCGGUGAAAUGCGCAGAUAUCAGGAGGAACACCGGUGGCGAAGGCGGGUCUCUGGGUAGUAACUGACGCUGAGGAGCGAAAGCAUGGGUAGCGAACAGGAUUAGAUACCCUGGUAGUCCAUGCCGUAAACGGUGGGCGCUAGGUGUGGGGUCCUUCCACGGACUCCGUGCCGUAGCUAACGCAUUAAGCGCCCCGCCUGGGGAGUACGG